AACGAACGCUGGCGGCAGGCCUAACACAUGCAAGUCGAGCGCCCAGCAAUGGGAGCGGCAGACGGGUGAGUAACGCGUGGGAACCUUCCCAAUGGUACGGAAUAGCUCAGGGAAACUUGAGGUAAUACCGCAUAAGCCCGAGAGGGGAAAGAUUUAUCGCCAUUGGAUGGGCCCGCGUAGGAUUAGCUAGUUGGUGAGGUAAUGGCUCACCAAGGCGACGAUCCUUAGCUGGUUUGAGAGAAUGACCAGCCACACUGGGACUGAGACACGGCCCAGACUCCUACGGGAGGCAGCAGUGGGGAAUCUUGGACAAUGGGCGCAAGCCUGAUCCAGCCAUGCCGCGUGAGUGACGAAGGUCUUCGGAUUGUAAAGCUCUUUUGCCAGGGACGAUAAUGACGGUACCUGGAGAAUAAGCCCCGGCUAACUUCGUGCCAGCAGCCGCGGUAAU
This 448-nucleotide ribosomal RNA is filed under the name uncultured bacterium. Its description in RNAcentral is "bacterial SSU rRNA". It matches the Rfam family "Bacterial small subunit ribosomal RNA", at positions 29 to 524 of the family's 1533-position model. The record is from RNAcentral.